UACAGGGGGUGCAAGCGUUAUUCGGAAUUAUUGGGCGUAAAGAGCGUGUAGGCGGCUCGUUAAGUCUGGUGUGAAAUCCCCGGGCUCAAUCCGGGAAGUGCAUUGGAUACUGGCGAGCUAGAGUGCAGGAGAGGAUGGUGGAAUUCCUGGUGUAGAGGUGAAAUUCGUAGAUAUCAGGAGGAACAACAGAGGCGAAGGCGACCAUCUGGACUGUUACUGACGCUAAGGCGCGAAAGCGUGGGGAGCAAACAGG
RNAcentral lists this ribosomal RNA (253 nucleotides) under uncultured prokaryote. RNAcentral describes it as "partial 16S ribosomal RNA". It matches the Rfam family "Bacterial small subunit ribosomal RNA", at positions 524 to 776 of the family's 1533-position model. The record is from RNAcentral.